CCUACGGGAGGCAGCAGUGAGGAAUAUUGGUCAAUGGGCGUAAGCCUGAACCAGCCAUGCCGCGUGUGGGAUGAAGGCUCUAUGGAUCGUAAAUCUCUUUUAUAAGGGGAUAAAGUGCGGGACGUGUACCGUUUUGAAUGUACGUUACGAAUAAGGAUCGGCUAACUCCGUGCCAGCAGCCGCGGUAAUACGGAGGAUCCGAGCGUUAACCGGAUUUAUUGGGUUUAAAGGGUGCGUAGGGGGUCUUUUAAGUCAGCGGUGAAAUGCUGUGGCUCAACCAUGGAAUUGCCGUUGAUACUGGGGAGCUAGAGUAUGGUUGAGGCAGGCGGAAUGCGUGGUGUAGCAGUGAAAUGCUUAGAGAUCA
RNAcentral lists this ribosomal RNA (364 nucleotides) under uncultured bacterium. Its description in RNAcentral is "partial 16S ribosomal RNA". It matches the Rfam family "Bacterial small subunit ribosomal RNA", at positions 338 to 699 of the family's 1533-position model. The record is from RNAcentral.